GAUGAACGCUGGCGGCGUGCCUAAUACAUGCAAGUCGAGCGAACAGACGAGGAGCUUGCUCCUCUGACGUUAGCGGCGGACGGGUGAGUAACACGUGGAUAACCUACCUAUAAGACUGGGAUAACUUCGGGAAACCGGAGCUAAUACCGGAUAAUAUAUUGAACCGCAUGGUUCAAUAGUGAAGGACGGUUUUGCUGUCACUUAUAGAUGGAUCCGCGCCGCAUUAGCUAGUUGGUAAGGUAACGGCUUACCAAGGCAACGAUGCGUAGCCGACCUGAGAGGGUGAUCGGCCACACGGGAACUGAGACACGGUCCAGACUCCUACGGGAGGCAGCAGUAGGGAAUCUUCCGCAAUGGGCGAAAGCCUGACGGAGCAACGCCGCGUGAGUGAUGAAGGUCUUCGGAUCGUAAAACUCUGUUAUUAGGGAAGAACAAAUGUGUAAGUAACUAUUCACGUCUUGACGGUACCUAAUCAGAAAGCCACGGCUAACUACGUG
Molecule: ribosomal RNA, 497 nt
Filed under: uncultured bacterium
Lineage: Bacteria
Description: partial 16S ribosomal RNA
Rfam family: Bacterial small subunit ribosomal RNA
Source: RNAcentral